UACGGAAGGCAGCAGUGGGGAAUAUUGCACAAUGGGCGCAAGCCUGAUGCAGCCAUGCCGCGUGUAUGAAGAAGGCCUUCGGGUUGUAAAGUACUUUCAGCGGGGAGGAAGGCGGUAAGGUUAAUAACCUUAUCGAUUGACGUUACCCGCAGAAGAAGCACCGGCUAACUCCGUGCCAGCAGCCGCGGUAAUACGGAGGGUGCAAGCGUUAAUCGGAAUUACUGGGCGUAAAGCGCACGCAGGCGGUCUGUCAAGUCGGAUGUGAAAUCCCCGGGCUUAACCUGGGAACUGCAUUCGAAACUGGCAGGCUAGAGUCUUGUAGAGGGGGUAGAAUUCCAGGUGUAGCGGUGAAAUGCGUAGAGAUCUGGAGGAAUACCGGUGGCGAAGGCGGCCCCUGGGACAAAGACUGACGCUCAGGGUGCGAAAGCGUGGGGAGCGAAAC
Molecule: ribosomal RNA, 442 nt
Filed under: uncultured bacterium
Lineage: Bacteria
Description: bacterial SSU rRNA
Rfam family: Bacterial small subunit ribosomal RNA
Source: RNAcentral